UUUCAAUGAUGAAGUAUUCCGGAUGUAAACACAGACCUGUUCCGAGAGCGCAAAACUAUGUGGAUAUUUCCGUUGCCUUCCUUCUGAUAUUUGAC
Molecule: small nucleolar RNA, 95 nt
Filed under: Penicillium occitanis (nom. inval.)
Lineage: Eukaryota; Fungi; Ascomycota; Eurotiomycetes; Eurotiales; Aspergillaceae
Description: Penicillium occitanis Small nucleolar RNA Z13/snr52
Rfam family: Small nucleolar RNA Z13/snr52
About the family: Z13 or snr52 is a member of the C/D class of snoRNA which contain the C (UGAUGA) and D (CUGA) box motifs.
Source: Rfam by way of RNAcentral